RNAcentral lists this ribosomal RNA (540 nucleotides) under uncultured bacterium. RNAcentral's name for it is "partial 16S ribosomal RNA". It matches the Rfam family "Bacterial small subunit ribosomal RNA", at positions 355 to 888 of the family's 1533-position model. The record is from RNAcentral.
UGGGGAAUUUUGGACAAUGGGCGAAAGCCUGAUCCAGCAAUGCCGCGUGUGUGAAGAAGGCCUUCGGGUUGUAAAGCACUUUUGUCCGGAAAGAAAUCCUCUGGGUUAAUACCUCGGGGGGAUGACGGUACCGGAAGAAUAAGCACCGGCUAACUACGUGCCAGCAGCCGCGGUAAUACGUAGGGUGCAAGCGUUAAUCGGAAUUACUGGGCGUAAAGCGUGCGCAGGCGGUUUUGUAAGACGGAUGUGAAAUCCCCGGGCUUAACCUGGGAACUGCAUUCGUGACUGCAAGGCUAGAGUAUGGCAGAGGGGGGUUAGAAUUCCACGUGUAGCAGUGAAAUGCGUAGAGAUGUGGAGGAAUACCGAUGGCGAAGGCAGCCCCCUGGGCCAAUACUGACGCUCAUGCACGAAAGCGUGGGGAGCAAACAGGAUUAGAUACCCUGGUAGUCCACGCCCUAAACGAUGUCAACUAGUUGUUGGGGAUUCAUUUCCUUAGUACGUAGCUAACGCGUGAAGUUGACCGCCUGGGGAGUACGGUCG